UCUCCAUGAUGUUGUCCCGCUGCAGCAAAUGAUCAAUUUCUACUCCGCGUGGCCAAGGUCAGGUGUGAGAGAAUAACAGGCUUGCUCUUGGUGCCAUAUAGAAAUGAUUUAUUGCAUUUCUAGAAGAAGAUGCUUGACAUUUGGAAAAUGUAAUGUACUGCUGCAGUAAUUAAGCAAAAAGUAGACUGCUGAACAAUUGAUUAGUACUGUCAGUGCCGCCUGAUUAACUGAGAUGCUUGAAGAACUGAGUCUGCCACCUAUGAAUUAAGGGCAAAGGUGAUUGGAGCCUCUGACCAGCACCCUGGCAUUCCAGAGUCCAAGUUCUCUAGUCUAGCUAAUGCAGCAGGAGCAAAGAGGGGCCUUUGGGACUCCAGACCAGCAGAAACUGAGGCAAGAACUCAUCUAGCAGUGAUGCCACAUGUGGACGUGAACUUGGAACCUGGAGGACACUUGGAACUAUCAGCAGGUACCCCAGCUAAUGAGGUCGAAGAUGCUGCUUCUGCAUGGAUCACCU
Molecule: long non-coding RNA, 514 nt
Organism: Vombatus ursinus (common wombat)
Lineage: Eukaryota; Metazoa; Chordata; Mammalia; Diprotodontia; Vombatidae
Exons: 3
Source: RefSeq, a predicted model, not a curated record